GGGUCGGUAGCUCAGUGGUAGAGCAUCUGGCUCUUAACCAGUUGGCCGUGAGUUCGAUCCUCACCCGACCCACCA
Molecule: transfer RNA, 75 nt
Filed under: bacterium DOLZORAL124_38_8
Lineage: Bacteria
Description: tRNA-Lys
Rfam family: tRNA
About the family: Transfer RNA (tRNA) molecules are approximately 80 nucleotides in length. Their secondary structure includes four short double-helical elements and three loops (D, anti-codon, and T loops). Further hydrogen bonds mediate the characteristic L-shaped molecular structure. tRNAs have two regions of fundamental functional importance: the anti-codon, which is responsible for specific mRNA codon recognition, and the 3' end, to which the tRNAs corresponding amino acid is attached (by aminoacyl-tRNA synthetases). tRNAs cope with the degeneracy of the genetic code in two manners: having more than one tRNA (with a specific anti-codon) for a particular amino acid; and 'wobble' base-pairing, i.e. permitting non-standard base-pairing at the 3rd anti-codon position.
Source: RNAcentral